This 523-nucleotide long non-coding RNA is filed under the name Solanum tuberosum (potato). RNAcentral's name for it is "long non-coding RNA (STUB_LNC006899)". Lineage: Eukaryota; Viridiplantae; Streptophyta; Magnoliopsida; Solanales; Solanaceae. The record is from RNAcentral.
UAUAAUGUGUCUAUUUAUUGCCGCUAAAAGUUAUUUUUGUGAUAGUUAUAUGCCAACUUUCACUUCAAUCCGAGUAAUUAGAGACAGUUCAAUCAAACAUACUAGGAUCUUGCUUUAUAGAUGUGACCCUGAUUUUUCUUUAUUGUCCAGCUUAAGUUGUCUGGACUUCUCAAAAUUGUUAUUGUAUUUGUAUUGGAUUUUUCAAAAUACACUAUUUUGGAGUAUAUGACAAAAACUAAUCGAUAUUUUUAAAGAAUUUGAGCAACAUAUAUAGGUAUAAUCUAAGAUUAGCUAGAAAAAAUAAAAGUAAAAAAGGAGAUAAAUACAGUAUUUUUUUCAAGUGUAACAUCAUAAUGUUGUGUAGCAAUUUCAUUAACGUUCUUAGUAAGAAGCAUGAACAGGUUUAGUAUAAGAGCAUGCAACAAUUGGAAAGUACAUUAAAGCUGUAAAAGUUGGAAAGCGGAAGAGCAAAAGAAUGUAUAUUAUGAGGUCUUAGAUUCAAAUUUCAUUGGAAACAAAAACA